AAGAGGAGGGUGAAAGUAAAGUGGCUUUGAAAUAUCUUGGCUUAGUCAGCUCUCUGGAUCUAAGAGGUAGUUUCGGGCUGACUGAAGAGGAAAAGAUAUGAAGGGUAGAUUCAAGAUUCAACUUGCCCCUUAUUUAAAGGAGGAGGAACUGAUGUGGAGAUAGAAAUCAAGAGAGAAGUGGCUGGAGGAAGGGGACCGCAACACAAAGUAUUCCCACGCUUUGGCCGCUCACCGACGCAGAAUUAAUUUCAUAGAGGAGAUUAUUAUAGAUAACAAGAAGAUUGGGGGGAAUUUUGACAUGCGAGAGGCUGUAAAAGAGCAUUUUACAAAUCUGUACUUGGAACCGCAUGUUUGUUGGCCGAAAUUGGAUGGCUUGCCUUUUCUCAGUAUCUCUGCAGAGAGCAGACAACGCCUGAAAGAAGACUUUACAGCUGAUGAGAUUCUUGAGGGGCUAAAAUCCUGUGAUGGUAAUAAAGCAUUGGGUCCCGAUGGUUUUAACAUGAUUUUUUUAUAGAGUUUCUGACAUUUGCUUAAAGAGGAUAUAUUGGCUGUUUUCAAUGAUCUGCACAAAAAGGUAAGGUCUUAUGGAACAGAGGGGAGGAAGAAGGAUGGUUUGGAAAUUCCACCGAGUAAGAAGAUGUAUGAAUACAUUCUAUUUCGUGGAAGUGACAUUAAGUAUUUAGGCAUAUGAUAUUGAUGUCCUACUGCCAAGGUUCCAUUUCCCAUUAAUAGGGAUUUGCAAGUGAAGACCUCCCCGCCUGCCCAACUAGAGGAACGGGUUUAUGAUGAUCCUGCCGUCAUUCAGUUUGGUGCUAGAAGCUUGAUGGAGACAAUGCAGUGGCAGGAUACACCUCCUGUGGCCAGUCUAACUUUACCACGGUUUACCUCAUUCUUAUCAAUCUCAAGAUUGCCAAAGAUAAAUGUUUGUUCAUCCCAUUCCACACCAUUCCAUCAGCUAAGUGAAAUGAAAAACUGAUCAGUAUUUUUCAUGCUCUGCAGAAGCCUAUUCCUUUUCUAUCCACAUUAAUUGUAUCAUCUCCAAUGACAAUGCAGAAUUUUAAGCAAAUGCCUGACAUAAAUGCUUCACCAGUUAUGGGAUUAACAGAUGCCUCUGGAUGUGUUCCCCCUUUAUCUUCUAUUGCAUCUCCUUCUAUGUGCCCUAAGUUUACACCUGCUAUUGCUCAAGGACAGUAUUCUGCUUCUGAUGUUUCAUUCUCUCAAUCCAUGGAGGCAUCGGUGCCAUCUCAUGCAUCUCACAUCGGUGAUGAAAGUCUACCUUCAUCAUUGUUUCUUUCAAAGAACACAGUUGAUGCUCAGUUUGUUAGUAAAACUAUCUCUGACCACCAUACUUCCAACCCUGAAUCAGUUUGUCAAGCUCCAUCAAUGCUUUAUAAUGGGUCAUCUUCUGCGAGUGCUGUUUCAGGCCCAUUGUUAACUACAACCACAUAUUUUUUAGCUCCGCCACAGUUUAAUGUUAACUCCUGAUCAACUAGUG
Molecule: non-coding RNA, 1495 nt
Organism: Carica papaya (papaya)
Lineage: Eukaryota; Viridiplantae; Streptophyta; Magnoliopsida; Brassicales; Caricaceae
Source: RefSeq, a predicted model, not a curated record